RNAcentral lists this ribosomal RNA (395 nucleotides) under uncultured bacterium. RNAcentral describes it as "bacterial SSU rRNA". It matches the Rfam family "Bacterial small subunit ribosomal RNA", at positions 359 to 758 of the family's 1533-position model. The record is from RNAcentral.
UAGCAUGGGGGCACCCUGACCGCAAUGCCGCGUGAGUGAAGAAGGCCUUCGGGUUGUAAAGCUCUUUUGUCAGGGAAGAAACACCGGCUCUAACACAGUCCGGGAAUGACGGUACCUGAAGAAUAAGCACCGGCUAACUACGUGCCAGCAGCCGCGGUAAUACGUAGGGUGCGAGCGUUAAUCGGAAUUACUGGGCGUAAAGCGUGCGCAGGCGGUUAUACAAGACAGGCGUGAAAUCCCCGGGCUUAACCUGGGAAUGGCGCCUGUGACUGUAUAGCUAGAGUGUGUCAGAGGGGGGUAGAAUUCCACGUGUAGCAGUGAAAUGCGUAGAUAUGUGGAGGAAUACCAAUGGCGAAGGCAGCCCCCUGGGAUAACACUGACGCUCAUGCACGAAA